AGAACGAACGCUGGCGGCAGGCCUAACACAUGCAAGUCGAACGCCGUAGCAAUACGGAGUGGCAGACGGGUGAGUAACGCGUGGGAACAUACCCUUCGGUUCGGAAUAACUCAGGGAAACUUGAGCUAAUACCGGAUACGUCCGAGGUUUUAAUCGACCUUGGAGAAAGAUUUAUCGCCGGAGGAUUGGCCCGCGUCUGAUUAGCUUGUUGGUGAGGUAAUGGCUCACCAAGGCGACGAUCAGUAGCUGGUCUGAGAGGAUGAUCAGCCACAUUGGGACUGAGACACGGCCCAAACUCCUACGGGAGGCAGCAGUGGGGAAUAUUGGACAAUGGGCGAAAGCCUGAUCCAGCCAUGCCGCGUGAGUGAUGAAGGCCUUAGGGUUGUAAAGCUCUUUUACCGGGAAGAUAAUGACGGUACCGGAGAAUAAGCCCGGCUAACUUCGCGCCAGCAGCCGC
RNAcentral lists this ribosomal RNA (457 nucleotides) under uncultured bacterium. RNAcentral describes it as "SSU rRNA". It matches the Rfam family "Bacterial small subunit ribosomal RNA", at positions 26 to 518 of the family's 1533-position model. The record is from RNAcentral.